GGGGAAUAUUGGACAAUGGGCGCAAGCCUGAUCCAGCCAUACCGCGUGUGUGAAGAAGGCCCUAGGGUUGUAAAGCACUUUCAGAGGGGAGGAAAGGUUAAUGGUUAAUACCCAUUAGCUGUGACGUUACCUUCAGAAGAAGCACCGGCUAACUCUGUGCCAGCAGCCGCGGUAAUACAGAGGGUGCGAGCGUUAAUCGGAAUUACUGGGCGUAAAGCGCGCGUAGGUGGUUUGUUAAGUCGGAUGUGAAAGCCCAGGGCUCAACCUUGGAAUUGCACCCGAUACUGGCAGGCUAGAGUACGAUAGAGGAGUGUGGAAUUUCCUGUGUAGCGGUGAAAUGCGUAGAUAUAGGAAGGAACAUCAGUGGCGAAGGCGACACUCUGGAUUGAUACUGACACUGAGGUGCGAAAGCGUGGGGAGCAAAC
RNAcentral lists this ribosomal RNA (425 nucleotides) under uncultured Oceanospirillales bacterium. RNAcentral describes it as "bacterial SSU rRNA". It matches the Rfam family "Bacterial small subunit ribosomal RNA", at positions 356 to 773 of the family's 1533-position model. Lineage: Bacteria; Pseudomonadati; Pseudomonadota; Gammaproteobacteria; Oceanospirillales. The record is from RNAcentral.